RNAcentral lists this ribosomal RNA (492 nucleotides) under uncultured bacterium. Its description in RNAcentral is "partial 16S ribosomal RNA". It matches the Rfam family "Bacterial small subunit ribosomal RNA", at positions 29 to 507 of the family's 1533-position model. The record is from RNAcentral.
AGUGAACGCUGGCGGUAGGCCUAACACAUGCAAGUCGAACGGCAGCACAGUAAGAGCUUGCUCUUACGGGUGGCGAGUGGCGGACGGGUGAGGAAUACAUCGGAAUCUACUUUUUCGUGGGGGAUAACGUAGGGAAACUUACGCUAAUACCGCAUACGACCUACGGGUGAAAGCAGGGGAUCUUCGUACCUUGCGCGAUCGAAUGAGCCGAUGUCGGAUUAGCUAGUUGGCGGGGUAAAGGCCCACCAAGGCGACGAUCCGUAGCUGGUCUGAGAGGAUGAUCAGCCACACUGGAACUGAGACACGGUCCAGACUCCUACGGGAGGCAGCAGUGGGGAAUAUUGGACAAUGGGCGCAAGCCUGAUCCAGCCAUACCGCGUGGGUGAAGAAGGCCUUCGGGUUGUAAAGCCCUUUUGUUGGGAAAGAAAAGCAGCAGGUUAAUACCCCGCUGUUCUGACGGUACCCAAAGAAUAAGCACCGGCUAACUUCGUG